GGGGGCGACACGGCUUCGACGGGUUUGGAGAUUUCGGAGUUGCGUGCCGAGGUCCGGGGUUCCUCGUAAAACACCCUGGAAAACCAAACAAAUGCCAACAACGAUCUGGCACUGGCCGCUUAACCAAUAGCUGCCCGUUCCCCGGUCUGCCCGCCCGAGGCGGGUCGCGGGAGCGUCGACGAGUCGGGCUGGUCUUCGGUCCACGCCACGGGACCCGAGGACGAGAAUCAAUGUGGCUAGCUCCGGUCAGGGUUGUUCGCCGACCCGACCGGAAGUGAACCGAACGGCGAUCUACGCACGUAGAAGCUUGGAAGGACCCAUUCGCGGACGCGGGUUCGACUCCCGCCGCCUCCAUUU
This 357-nucleotide transfer-messenger RNA is filed under the name Longimicrobiales. RNAcentral describes it as "Bin94 sp009844885 Standard tmRNA". It matches the Rfam family "transfer-messenger RNA". Rfam says of the family: Bacterial tmRNA, also known as 10Sa RNA or SsrA, is named for its dual tRNA and mRNA-like properties. Its role is to liberate the mRNA from a stalled ribosome. RNAcentral also lists the same sequence under 1 other name. Lineage: Bacteria; Pseudomonadati; Gemmatimonadota; Longimicrobiia. The record is from RNAcentral.